GACGAACGCUGGCGGCGUGCUUAACACAUGCAAGUCGAACGGAAAGGCCCUGCUUUUGUGGGGUGCUCGAGUGGCGAACGGGUGAGUAACACGUGAGUAACCUGCCCUUGACUUUGGGAUAACUUCAGGAAACUGGGGCUAAUACCGGAUAGGAGCUCCUGCUGCAUGGUGGGGGUUGGAAAGUUUCGGCGGUUGGGGAUGGACUCGCGGCUUAUCAGCUUGUUGGUGGGGUAGUGGCUUACCAAGGCUUUGACGGGUAGCCGGCCUGAGAGGGUGACCGGCCACAUUGGGACUGAGAUACGGCCCAGACUCCUACGGGAGGCAGCAGUGGGGAAUAUUGCACAAUGGGCGGAAGCCUGAUGCAGCAACGCCGCGUGCGGGAUGACGGCCUUCGGGUUGUAAACCGCUUUCGCCUGUGACGAAGCGUGAGUGACGGUAAUGGGUAAAGAAGCACCGGCUAACUACGUGCCAGCAGCCGCGGUGAUACGUAGGGUGCGAGCGUUGUCCGGAUUUAUUGGGCGUAAAGGGCUCGUAGGUGGUUGAUCGCGUCGGAAGUGUAAUCUUGGGGCUUAACCCUGAGCGUGCUUUCGAUACGGGUUGACUUGAGGAAGGUAGGGGAGAAUGGAAUUCCUGGUGGAGCGGUGGAAUGCGCAGAUAUCAGGAGGAACACCAGUGGCGAAGGCGGUUCUCUGGGCCUUUCCUGACGCUGAGGAGCGAAAGCGUGGGGAGCGAACAGGCUUAGAUACCCUGGUAGUCCACGCUGUAAACGGUGGGUACUAGGUGUGGGGUCCAUUCCACGGGUUCCGUGCCGUAGCUAACGCUUUAAGUACCCCGCCUGGGGAGUACGGCCGCAAGGCUAAAACUCAAAGGAAUUGACGGGGCCCCGCACAAGCGGCGGAGCAUGCGGAUUAAUUCGAUGCAACGCGUAGAACCUUACCUGGGUUUGACAUGGAUCGGGAGCGCUCAGAGAUGGGUGUGCCUCUUUUGGGGUCGGUUCACAGGUGGUGCAUGGCUGUCGUCAGCUCGUGUCGUGAGAUGUUGGGUUAAGUCCCGCAACGAGCGCAACCCUUGUUCACUGUUGCCAGCACGUUAUGGUGGGGACUCAGUGGAGACCGCCGGGGUCAACUCGGAGGAAGGUGGGGAUGACGUCAAGUCGUCAUGCCCCUUAUGUCCAGGGCUUCACGCAUGCUACAAUGGCUGGUACAGAGAGUGGCGAGCCUGUGAGGGUGAGCGAAUCUCGGAAAGCCGGUCUCAGUUCGGAUUGGGGUCUGCAACUCGACCUCAUGAAGUCGGAGUCGCUAGUAAUCGCAGAUCAGCAACGCUGCGGUGAAUACGUUCCCGGGGCU
Molecule: ribosomal RNA, 1346 nt
Filed under: uncultured bacterium
Lineage: Bacteria
Description: bacterial SSU rRNA
Rfam family: Bacterial small subunit ribosomal RNA
Source: RNAcentral